Long non-coding RNA from Brassica rapa (field mustard), 3409 nucleotides. RefSeq lists it as uncharacterized. The record is from RefSeq and is a predicted model, not a curated record. NCBI's taxonomy places the organism in Eukaryota, Viridiplantae, Streptophyta, Magnoliopsida, Brassicales, Brassicaceae.
AUUCUUUUCAAGUUGAGAAUUAAGGCUGUCAUUAUCGAAGUAGUUAAAAUCUGCUGAUUCCUGACGUUAGAUGAUUAUUAAUUACGUGUCCUGUUCCUAUACUUUAAAAAGUCUUUUCAUUUAUUGAACGAAAAAAAGAAAAGAAAAAAAGAGUCUUUUCAUUUAUAUUACUUUUUUGGGUGUAAUUUAUUACUUGUUAACUAGUUGAUGUUUCACAUCUUGUGUGAAUUAAUAUAUCUAUAUAUCUAAUAAUUUUUAAUUUUAAUAUUUAUUUUUAUAAAACAAUAAUAACUAAACUAAAUACAAAAUUUAAAUUAUUAUAAAUUAUAAAGCUUUAAUAUUCAUAUUGGUAAUCAUUGUACUAAAUUAUGUUUUAUUAGAUCAAUUUUUUUUCUAUAAUAAUAAUUAAAUUAGGAAACUUGUAUUUGAAAUAAAAUAUAUGUAGUAUUUGGACUGAAAAGAAACCAUGUGGUACUGGAAAAGAUUAUAAAAAAUCACAACUAUAAAACAUUAAUAAAAUAACAAUAAUUUAGGAGCAAACCGAAAUAGGGUAAACGGUCUUGCUUUGGUAGUAUCGAGUAAACUGAAUAGAUGUUAUUUUAAGAAACCGCAGUAUAUGGAUAUCGUUGAUUAUAUUAAGUGAUCAAAUCGAAUAAACCAAAGAAACCAGUUAAUUCAGAUAUAUUAAAAUACUUAUAUAUAAAAAUGUAUUUCAUCAGUAUUUCCUAUAAAAAUCAAAGAAAUAGCUAUAAUAUUAGUCAUUAAAAUCAUAAAUUAAUAGAAGAUAAAAGUAAUGAUUAUAUUAUGAGUAGAUACUAGAUUUUGAUCCGCGUUUUGAAAGCGCGGUUUAUUUUUUUUUUCAAUUGACAAAUAUUUAGUAAAUGUCAUAUUUUCAUAUAUUUGUGUUUUAUUUUAUAAAAGACUUAAACUUUUUAUCUUUAUUUAUUGUAUUUCAUUUAAAUGACUAUUUAUGUUUAAAAAAUCAAACUUUAUUUCUUUAAUGAAUUAAGUUGGUAUAACUCUGAUAAUAUUUUAUACUUUUCAAUGAAAAAAAUUAAUUUUUAUAUGAAUGCUUAAAUUAUAUUAAGAAAAGAAAAAAAAAUAAUUAAGAAUCGUUGAAAAUAAUUAUUUGAACUUGGAUUCAAUGGUCCAAAAGAAAAAAAAUAUGAGAAUUAGAUAUGAUUUUUUAAUCGGCCCAAAUGGCCCAAGAGAGAUCUGAUGUAGGUUGGAUCCGAAAAAAAUGACCCAAUAUAGAUGUGUUAUUAAUAUUACUUGUUUGUCCUUAAUGAAACAUGCAAUGUUAGUAAAGAAAAAAGCAUGCUAAGGUAAAAAUGACAAUAGGAUCCUACUUUAAUAGUAUAGAUUGUUAUCUAUUUAUUAAUUAAAUGUCAUAAAUAUCAUGAUAAUUAUAUAUUAAAUAUAUAUAUAUAUAUUUAAAAUAAUAGUAUAUAUGUAUAUCAGUAGAAUAGUUUAAUGUUUAUUAAUUAUCUUUAAUUUCAUGAUAAAUAUAUAUAUUUUAAAAUAAAAUUUUAAAUAAUAAUAUUAAUUAAGCUAAUAAUUUAUUCUAAAAUUAUCGAAAAAUGACAAGUAAGCAAAUUAACUAAAAUCCCUGUUCGAAACUACGUUAGGCGCUAGUCGGGCGGUUGUCCUGGGCCUAGCGAGUUACUGAAAAAUCGAGGAUUAAGCGGGAUUUACGCGGGGCCUAGUUAUUAUAUAGUUUAGCAUAUAAACUAAAUUGUUUGUUUGGUGCAGUGGUUUCCGGCAUCUUAAAUGUCCCAGCAACCUGGGUUCGAAGGCAAGUUAGCGAAUUUUUGUCAUAUUUUUUUUGUUUUUCUUUAAUGAAUGGUAUAAUUGUAAUUCUCGCUUCAUCUUCCUCAUUUAGGGCUGCGAUUCUGCAACUCAAAAACACAGCCGCAUUCUUUAGUUUUCUUAGCUACAUCACUUUUCUCUGUUUCUUUAACCUAAUACUUACAGAUCUUGUAUAUAUUGAUUGAUUUUUAACUUUAAAUGGGCAAAAAACGAAGUUUAUCAAAGUCUCCGAGUUUUUGUCCGAUUAACGCCAAAUCGAAACGCUGCUUGAACGCCAAGCGUUUAUUCGCCGCGUUUUCGGACUCGGCGGCCGCGUUUUCGAACAUGGACUAAAAUCAUGGAAAAAAUGAUAAUUAAGCAAAAUUUUAAAUAAUAAUAUUAAUUAAAUUAAUGUUUUAUUUUAACAUCAUGGAAAAAAUGACAAGUAAGCAAAUUAACUAAAAUCAUGGAAAAUAUGACAAAUAAACAAAUUCAAUUCUCAAAUAAUAGUAUAGAUACCACCAAAUCUUAUCGCUUAAUUUCAGUUUAAGUUUUUUAGAUAAAACAUAAAAUAAAUAUCUCUAAAACAAAGACGUAAUCGCUUCGCUUUCUCGAGAAACAUAAAACGACAUACAUUUCUUGAUCUCAUUCUCAACGACAAUUGACCAAACAUCUGUAAUCUGAUCAAUUAUACAGAGGUUCUAAUCAAAAAGUGUAAUCAUAGAUGUUUUGAAUAAAAUCACGUGUUGCAACUUGCAAUAAGAAAAGGGUCGGUCCCUUAUUAAAAAAAGAUGAUGAAUCAGUUUGCAAAAAUUAACAAAAGAAAAACUAUUCAAGUGUCCCAUGAGGAUCUGGUUUAGCUGUGAAAAUUGUAUUACAUCAACAAAACAACGUUUGAUCCAUUGUCAAUCCUUUUGACGUUUUGCUGAGUCUUCUGACUUCAGAGUUCUAUACCGGUGAAUCAAAACUACUAGUUAUUAGCAAGUUGAGCUAAAUAAAAACAAAAAAAAUACUAUCUAAAUCUGAAGACUUUUGAUUACACAAAUAUAGAGAAUACAUAUAUAUUAUGUGAUGUUACAAAAAAAAAAAAAAAAAAACAUAUAUAUUAUGUGAACUAGAAGUUAAAAUGGAAAAUAAAAAUCAUAGCUAGUCAUGUUCUUCAAUGCUUUUUUUUUGGACAAGUUCUUCAAUGCAUUAAAGUUAAGAAAAGAAAAAUAAAAAAACACAGUCAUGUUCUUCUAAUGCAUUAAAACCAGCCUGUCGAGCUGAGGUUGUGUAAUGAACAAACAACCAAAAAUAAACAAAGUCAUAACCAGAUUUAAGUAAACAAAGAAACAAAGACUAUUACUAGUAUUUAGAAAUCUUGAAUUGAGUUUUUCACUAACAAAAUCGUAUAACGUGUUCCACAAACAAUGAGAUCUACAGUGAUUGGUUUGCCACCUUACCACGUUUUCUCCUCGGAGAAACUGGAAGACACUACUAACGACUUCGGUGCAGCAAGUUUGUUCUGUGAACAGUUGUACAAAGGUUGUAUCAGGGAAGGCAUAGCAGUGAAAAUGAGAGGUACCAAAAUGAAGCAGAGAAGAGUUUUCCACAGAGCUUAGCUCAGAAGAUGGAAGUU